RNAcentral lists this ribosomal RNA (401 nucleotides) under Amphistichus argenteus (barred surfperch). RNAcentral describes it as "partial 16S ribosomal RNA". It matches the Rfam family "Bacterial large subunit ribosomal RNA", at positions 1954 to 2529 of the family's 2925-position model. Lineage: Eukaryota; Metazoa; Chordata; Actinopteri; Embiotocidae. The record is from RNAcentral.
AGGUAGCGUAAUCCUUGUCUUUUAAAUGAAGACCUGUAUGAAUGGCACGACGAGGGCUUAACUGUCUCCUUUUUCCGUCAAUGAAAUUGAUCUUCCCGUGCAGAAGCGGGAAUAAGACGAGAAGACCCUAUGGAGCUUUAGACACAAGGCAGCCCAUGUCAAACACCCCCCUAAGGGACUGAACUAAUUGACCCUGCCUUAAUGUCUUUGGUUGGGGCGACCACGGGAAACACAAAACCCCCAUGUGGACCGGGAAGACACAACUAAGAGUUACAGCUCUAAUUAACAGAACUUCUGACCAGAAAUGAUCCGGCACGCCGAUCAACGGACCGAGUUACCCUAGGGAUAACAGCGCAAUCCCCUCUUAGAGCCCAUAUCGACGAGGGGGUUUACGACCUCGA